Molecule: long non-coding RNA, 283 nt
Organism: Xiphophorus couchianus (Monterrey platyfish)
Lineage: Eukaryota; Metazoa; Chordata; Actinopteri; Cyprinodontiformes; Poeciliidae
Exons: 2
Source: RefSeq, a predicted model, not a curated record
AUGGCCGACACAAAGUAGCACAGAGAGGCAGAGGUGGAAGCCUGGACUCCGACGACGCUUCCUGUCGCAUUGUAGCUGACGCGUCCAUACAGCAUGCACAGACCGCCGAAGUUACCCUGACAGAGAGAAAGACAGAGUUCCAUACAAGGGAGGGAGGAUGGAUGGGCGCGACUAGCGACUCGAUCACAAGACUCGCUUAUUACUGGCGCACAUGUUCACAUUUCCUCCAACAUUUGUAACGAAAACACACUAAAGGUGAAACCCGAACAUAACAUUUAAAACA